GAUAAACGCUGACAGAAUGCUUAACACAUGCAAGUCUAUGUGAAGCUUAAAGCUUGCUUUAAGUGGAGCAUGGCGGACGGGUGAGUAACGCGUAAAGAACUUACCUGCUAGACUGGGAUAACAUAGAGAAAUUUGUGAUAAUACCGGAUAAGUUAGAUAAUCGCAUGAUUAUCAAAUGAAAGAUUGCGCUAGCAGAGAGCUUUGCGUCCUAUUAGCUAGUUGGUAAGGUAAAGGCUUACCAAGGCGAUGAUAGGUAGCCGGCCUGAGAGGGUGAACGGCCACAAGGGGACUGAGAUACGGCCCUUACUCCUACGGGAGGCAGCAGUGGGGAAUAUUGGACAAUGGAGGAAACUCUGAUCCAGCAAUUCUGUGUGCACGAAGAAGGUCUUCGGAUUGUAAAGUGCUUUUAGUUGGGAAGAAGCAAGUGACGGUACCAACAGAAGAAGCGACGGCUAAAUACGUGCCAGCAGCCGCGGUAAUACGUAUGUCGCGAGCGUUAUCCGGAAUUAUUGGGCUUAAAGGGCAUCUAGGCGGCGUAUCAAGUUGAAGGUGAAAAGCUGUGGCUCAACCAUAGUCUUGCCUACAAAACUGUUAUGCUAGAGUACUGGAGAAGUGGGUGGAACUACACGAGUAGAGGUGAAAUUCGUAGAUAUGUGUAGGAAUGCCGAUGAUGAAGAUAACUCACUUGACAGAGACUGACGCUGAAGUGCGAAAGCUAGGGGAGCAAACAGGAUUAGAUACCCUGGUAGUCCUAGCUGUAAACGAUGAACACUGGGUGUGGGGGCUAAUACCUCUGUGCCGAAGCAAAAGCGAUAAGUGAUCCGCCUGGGGAGUACGUUCGCAAGAAUGAAACUCAAAGGAAUUGACGGGGGCCCGCACAAGUGGUGGAGCAUGUGGUUUAAUUCGACGCAACGCGAGGAACCUUACCAGAUCUUGACAUCUACGGAAUAUGUAUGAAGAUACAUAGUGCCUUCGGGAACCGUAAGACAGGUGGUGCAUGGCUGUCGACAGCUCGUGUUGUGAGAUGUUGGGUUAAGUCCCGCAACGAGCGAAACCCCUAUCGUUAGUUACUAACAUUAAGUUGAGGACUCUAACGAAACUGCUAGCGAAGAGCUAGAGGAAGGUGGGGAUGACGUCAAGUCAUCAUGCCCCUUAUGAUCUGGGCUACACACGUGCUACAAUGGGUAGUACAGAAAGAAGCGAAACGGCGACGUGGAGCAAAACUCAAAAGCUACUCUUAGUUCGGAUUGGAGUCUGCAACUCGACUCCAUGAAGUUGGAAUCACUAGUAAUCGCGAAUCAGCAAUGUCGCGGUGAAUACGUUCUCGGGCCU
Molecule: ribosomal RNA, 1332 nt
Filed under: uncultured bacterium
Lineage: Bacteria
Description: bacterial SSU rRNA
Rfam family: Bacterial small subunit ribosomal RNA
Source: RNAcentral